UACGUAGGUGGCAAGCGUUGUCCGGAAUCACUGGGCGUAAAGCGCGCGCAGGCGGCGAUCUACGUCUGGGGUGAAAGCCCGGAGCUCAACUCCGGGACUGCCUUGGAUACGGGAUCGCUUGAGGAUUGGAGAGGCAAGGGGAAUUCCACGUGUAGCGGUGAAAUGCGUAGAUAUGUGGAGGAACACCAGUGGCGAAGGCGACUUUCUGGCCUAUAACUGACGCUGAGGCGCGAAAGCGUGGGGAGCAAACAGG
RNAcentral lists this ribosomal RNA (253 nucleotides) under uncultured bacterium. RNAcentral describes it as "partial 16S ribosomal RNA". It matches the Rfam family "Bacterial small subunit ribosomal RNA", at positions 524 to 776 of the family's 1533-position model. The record is from RNAcentral.